CAGCGCUGCUAUAAUGCAGUCGAGCGGACUUGCUGGAGCUUGCUCCAGCAGGUUAGCGGCGGACGGGUGAGUAACACGUGGGCAACCUGCCUGUAAGACUGGGAUAACUCCGGGAAACCGGAGCUAAUACCGGAUAGUAUCUUGAACCGCAUGGUUCAAGUUGGAAAGACGGUUUCGGCUGUCACUUACAGAUGGGCCCGCGGCGCAUUAGCUAGUUGGUGAGGUAAUGGCUCACCAAGGCAACGAUGCGUAGCCGACCUGAGAGGGUGAUCGGCCACACUGGGACUGAGACACGGCCCAGACUCCUACGGGAGGCAGCAGUAGGGAAUCUUCCGCAAUGGACGAAAGUCUGACGGAGCAACGCCGCGUGAGUGAUGAAGGUUUUCGGAUCGUAAAACUCUGUUGUUAGGGAAGAACAAGUGCGAGAGUAACUGCUCGCACCUUGACGGUACCUAACCAGAAAGCCACGGCUAACUACGUGCCAGCAGCCGCGGUAAUACGUAGGUGGCAAGCGUUGUCCGGAAUUAUUGGGCGUAAAGCGCGCGCAGGCGGUUUCUUAAGUCUGAUGUGAAAGCCCCCGGCUCAACCGGGGAGGGUCAUUGGAAACUGGGAAACUUGAGUGCAGAAGAGGAGAGUGGAAUUCCACGUGUAGCGGUGAAAUGCGUAGAGAUGUGGAGGAACACCAGUGGCGAAGGCGACUCUCUGGUCUGUAACUGACGCUGAGGCGCGAAAGCGUGGGGAGCGAACAGGAUUAGAUACCCUGGUAGUCCACGCCGUAAACGAUGAGUGCUAAGUGUUAGAGGGUUUCCGCCCUUUAGUGCUGCAGCUAACGCAUUAAGCACUCCGCCUGGGGAGUACGGUCGCAAGACUGAAACUCAAAGGAAUUGACGGGGGCCCGCACAAGCGGUGGAGCAUGUGGUUUAAUUCGAAGCAACGCGAAGAACCUUACCAGGUCUUGACAUCCUUUGCCACUUCUAGAGAUAGAAAGUUCCCCUUCGGGGGACAAAGUGACAGGUGGUUGCAUGGGUUGUCGUCAGCUCGUGUCGUGAGAUGUUUGGGUUUAAGUCCCGCAACGAGCGCAACCCUUGAUCUUAGUUGCCCAGCAUUCAGUUGGGCACUCUAACNGACUGCCGNGACAAACCGGGAGAAGUGGGAUGACGUCAAUCAUCAUGCCCUAUGACUGNGNUACNCACGUGCUACAUUGNNUGNNACAAANNNCUUGGCGA
RNAcentral lists this ribosomal RNA (1226 nucleotides) under Gammaproteobacteria bacterium. RNAcentral describes it as "bacterial SSU rRNA". It matches the Rfam family "Bacterial small subunit ribosomal RNA", at positions 40 to 1252 of the family's 1533-position model. Lineage: Bacteria; Pseudomonadati; Pseudomonadota; Gammaproteobacteria. The record is from RNAcentral.